Molecule: ribosomal RNA, 429 nt
Filed under: Bacteroidota bacterium
Lineage: Bacteria; Pseudomonadati; Bacteroidota
Description: Bacteroidetes bacterium partial 16S ribosomal RNA
Rfam family: Bacterial small subunit ribosomal RNA
Source: RNAcentral
UAGGGAAUCUUCGGCAAUGGGGGGAACCCUGACCGAGCAACGCCGCGUGAGUGAAGAAGGUUUUCGGAUCGUAAAGCUCUGUUGGUAAGGAAGAACGAGUGUGAGAAUGGAAAGUUCAUGCUGUGACGGUACUUAACCAGAAAGGGACGGCUAACUACGUGCCAGCAGCCGCGGUAAUACGUAGGUCCCGAGCGUUGUCCGGAUUUAUUGGGCGUAAAGCGAGCGCAGGCGGUUAGAAAAGUCUGAAGUGAAAGGCAGUGGCUCAACCAUUGUCGGCUUUGGAAACUGUUUAACUUGAGUGCAGAAGGGGGGAGUGGAAUUCCAUGUGUAGCGGUGAAAUGCGUAGAUAUAUGGCGGAACACCGGUGGCGAAAGCGGCUCUCUGGUCUGUAACUGACGCUGAGGCUCGAAAGCGUGGGGAGCGAACAGG